Molecule: long non-coding RNA, 3718 nt
Filed under: Homo sapiens (human)
Lineage: Eukaryota; Metazoa; Chordata; Mammalia; Primates; Hominidae
Description: HSALNT0321927
Source: RNAcentral
UACUUUUGUAUUUGACCACGUAAGACAAUUGGAUGGGCACCUAAUAUAUUUCCUGGUACACUCCUAUUGUGGUUGGUCUUCUUUAUCUGUAUGUCUAUCUUGUUCAGUCUGCGCUUCAGCUUUGCAGGAAAAUAGAAAUUUUUUUUUCUGUGCUUGUUUAUGCUAACCAUGGUGCCUACAACUGCAUCUGCUGCCUUUACACGGGACUGCAAACCUGUUUUUUUCAACCUUCUGUUUUAUGGGUGUGCACACCCAUAAAUCUCCUGUGGCUGGGUUAAGGGAACAUACAAGCAGCUCUUCAGCAUUAAGAAUGUGAUGGGAGAGAUUCAGGUAGAUUUGAACUGCCAUCAUCAAUCAAGACCAAGGAGAAGGCUGCUUUCCAGGAUGUACACAUGGCCUCUGUUUGCUGUUGCUGUUUUGCUUCUUUUAAGAGGUGAACCAAUAUAUGUAUGUCUGUUUCUACUGUCACUUGCAGCUCAACAGAACCCUGUAAUAUACAUGAACAAGUUUCUGGAAGUUAAGAGAGAUGAGAAGUUCACCAAGUCACCAACCUGACUGUUACCAUGAGGAAUUCCUUUACCGGAGAACAUGCUGUCACAAUAGGUUAAAUAUAUGUUAUACAGGUCCAAAGAAUAUUCAUGUUCAAUCUUAGUUAAAAAUAAAUAUUUAUAGUUAGUUAAAUUAGGUAUAGCUUUUAUUUCCCACAUUAUAAUUACCUGUAUUUUUUAUACUUCAUGUAACAUCACCAAAAAUUUUAGUAUUAGAUAAAUCAAAAAAGUUAUUUGUACAAGCUUAUAUAAUAAAAAUUUAGAGAUAUGGCUGUCUUGUUUUUUCAUUUUGCUCUCAUAUAACAUGAUUACUGUGCUAUUACAUAAUAGUAUGUACCGUACAAGGGACAAUUCAAGGUAAAAUAUACUAUGUCAAUAUUCUGUUUUAUGAAUCAUUUGUCUCCACUUUAUUUGUAGAAUGGGAAGUUUUGUUCCAAUUUUUAUUAUUUUCUGAAUUUUAUCUUACCCUAACCAAAUAUUUUGCAAAGAAAAUUGGGAAUUUUUGCCUCAUGAAACUCUUUUCUCUUCUCUGUCUCCCUAUGCCCCGCAUCAAAAAACCUUAAUUUACUUUGCUUUACUGAGUAGAUUCAAGAUCUCUCUUUCUCAGCUAAAAGUAAUAAUAAAUAAAUGUUUUCUGCAUCUAGUGCAAGUUAUGUGCUGGGAAUCUAAAAUAUCCCAGAUUAAGGUCCAAUAAAUCAGAGUAUGUAUUUGCCUGACACAAAAGAAAUAUAUACAGAUUGCAUUCUGCUCCCAAAUGCAGAACUCCCUUUUUGUUUGAAAUUAUUUUUUAGGAAGUUGAAAGAAAAGAAAUGGUAAAAUAUUUUAACAUUUUAAAUUUACUUCAUCGUGAUUAUUUCACUUAUUAACAUUUAUAAUACAUCUCAGGGGAAGAGGUUGUAUAAUUGUUCACUAUCUGUAGUUCAUGAGACCUAGGAAAGUGUAUAUAUAUAGUGAUGAAAAACAAUUUUAUCUGAAAUUUGUGCUGGAAGUAUAAGUGAGCUUAAAAAUGUAAUUGUUUUUUCAUAUGUAGUUGAAAAAACAUAUGGGUUGAUUGAUCGUGGCACCCAAGAAGAAAUAUCUAGGUCAUAAUCCCUGGAACCUGUGAAUGUUACUUUAUUUGGAAAAAGUAUCUUUGCAGAUGUAAUUCAUCUAAGGAUCUUGAAAUGAGGAGAUCAUCCUGGAUUACCCAGGUGGGCCCUAAAACCAAUGACUAGUGUUCUUGUAAGAAAAAAGAAGACUGAAACUUAGACAAAACAGGAAAAGACACAGAAAAGAGAUGUGAAGAUAGAAGCAGAAUGGAGAACAGUGUGGCCAUAAGCCAAGGAAUGCCAACCCCCACCAGAAGGUGGAAAAGGCAAAAAAGGGAUUGUCUCUUGCAGCUUCCAGAAGGUGUGGAGUCCUAAUGACACCUUGAUUUUGGACUUUCGGCCUCCAGAACUUUGUGAGAAUAAAUUUUUGUUGUUUUAAGCAACACAUUUUGUGGUGACUUGUUACAGGAGCCACAGAAAACUAGUACACAGUAUGAGCUCAAUAAUAUGACUAUGUGUUCAUCAAAUCCAUGAGAUGACAAAUUCCUUGAGGCAAGGACCACUAAGAUUUUGUUGAUGGUUAUGUUUUACACAGCUAGCUUGAAUGAGGCAGAGUAUCUAGGCACAUGGCUGACCAGAAAAAAUACUGUUUCCCUGUCUCCUUUGAAGCUGGAUGUAGCCCAGGGGCUAUUUUGAGCCAAAAAGAUAAAAGCACAUAUAAAGUGGCAACUACAGGGAUACACAUUCCUAAAGAGGAGGGAGCAGUGUGAUGGAUGAACAGGAGACACCAACUUACUUAGGAAGUGUAUUUGAUUUGGUGCAAGAUGAGUGUAGAUUGAGAGUAGAGGCAAUGCCUAGAGUAACAGUAACAGAAAAGUGUUAUACAACACCUGAAUGCCUACAAAGACUUUCCUAUAAGAGGAGUUAUGCUACUGUUUUCUUCUUAUGUUACAGACAAGGUAGAGUUUUGCCACAACCAAACUUAAUUCUAACUAAUAUACAAGAUAACUGGGCCAGAUGUGUUAUGAGUUUGGUGAAUUUAUAUAAAUUUUUUGACAAGUAUUUUAUAUCAAGUUGCAUUCUUGGAGAAAAUGAGAAGAGGAAUUUACUAGCAAUAUUCAUGAAUUGAAAUAUUUUUGUACUCUGCCUUCCACUCACCUGCACAUCAAGAGAUAAGAAAUGAUCUAUUUAUAUAAAAUGAAUUGAAAUAUAUAUUUUAUUUAUAUUUCUCCACCUUCUGCAUAAAAUAUUUUUAUUGAAGGCUUUUAUGGUGUUCAUUACAAUGCCUAAAAGUCAAGGUAUCAACUCUAAUUUCUCAUUUAUUAUACUACAAUGUAGAUUUUUGUUGAAAAUAACUGUAAUGACAUCAAUGCAUAUCAUUUUGACCCUCGAGAAUUAAAUUUUUUGAUGUUAAUUAUUCAUAAACACACCUUGUCUGAGCUCAUUUGAAAAAUUAAAAAAUGAAAUCAUGUCUCAGCAAUGUACCCAGGGUACCUGCUACCUCUGUAAAACAUUCUGACUCUCUAAAAUUUAAUUAUUGCUUCCUUACUUAUAUCUACAUGCUACCCACUCAAAUAAUAUUUGUUGCAUUGAUUUCUCUCUUUCAAUUAAUCCCUGCAAACAGGUUUCUUCCAGAAAUAUUGGGUGAUUGUGCAUAUUGUUAACUGAAAUAAAUUCUGUAUCCUGCAUUUCACCUUGUUGCCAUUAUGAAAUGUCAACCAAUCACAUUACUGACAGAUGUUGUUUCAUUCUACAUUUCCAUAGAUCUAAUAAUAUCUUUCUUUUUAAUUGUCUCUUCUUGAGACAAUUGUGUCCAGGUGAAUGAUAGGGAUAAGACAACUAAUUGACACCUAUUAGUUUAUGUGGAAAGGCCUGGGGCAUAAGUAAUCAAGCAAAUUUUGCACUUUCUCUUUCAUUUUUCCCCUCACUUAAGACUCAUAAUUAUAUUCUAAUCCUCAAGAUUCAAAUCAGUGAAGAAUUUCUUGAUCUGGUCAAGCAAAAUUAAUCAUCCCUCUUUUUGUUUCAUGACUGAAUGUAACAGUAGCACUCUUUUUAUAAAUUCUACUUUUGUGUGAAAAAUUGAAGAAAAAGUUUUAAUACAUGGUAGUUUCUAAAACCUACUGACAUUCUUGAAAAACUCCA